GGAGCAUCCAACUCUUCUUUCGAUGAGAAUUCUGGUUCAGAAGGUCUAUCGUCUACAUUUCCAUUGUCUUCCUCUGACUUAAUUGCUUCCUUAACUGGUGAGUCAUUGUUUAUCUCAAGAUGCUCCAGUGGACUGGGAUUAGCAUUUUCAUCUUUCCUUUCUGAAACCAUACCAGUACGGGUAACCUCGAGAUUUUCUUGGAAGAUUGUCUCUUGA
This 216-nucleotide unclassified non-coding RNA is filed under the name Hevea brasiliensis (rubber tree). The record is from RNAcentral. Lineage: Eukaryota; Viridiplantae; Streptophyta; Magnoliopsida; Malpighiales; Euphorbiaceae.